AGUAUGGAAUGAGCUGAGUCAUCCUCUGAGUGUGUUAGCAAGGCUCUGAAACAGCCACAUUUCCCAGCCAGAAAACUAUCAGGAGUUUGUUCGGCUGCAAGGGGACAUGUUGAUCUGACAAUGCUAGGAGCGAUGCAGGUUUCCAAAUAUGGUGACCUGGCUAACUGGAUGAUACCUGGGAAGAUGGUGAAAGGAAUGGGAGGUGCUAUGGAUUUAGUGUCCAGUGCCAAAACCAAGGUGGUGGUCACCAUGGAGCAUUCUGCAAAGGGAAAUGCACAUAAAAUCAUGGAGAAAUGUACAUUACCAUUGACUGGAAAGCAAUGUGUCAACCGCAUUAUUACUGAAAAG
Molecule: small RNA, 348 nt
Filed under: Pongo abelii (Sumatran orangutan)
Lineage: Eukaryota; Metazoa; Chordata; Mammalia; Primates; Hominidae
Description: processed transcript
Source: RNAcentral